GUCCAUUUCCUUCACACUGACUGCCCUGUAAUAAUCAACUGCGGGCAGGGUUGAAGGUGUCGGAGUGCCUGGUGCUCCUCAAGGAGCCGUAGAUGUAUCUGUUAAAGGCUCUUCAGGAAGCUGUGAGCCCGGCUCCUGGGGCAGCAAGCCGUCGGAGCCCAGGCUUCCGAGUCAGGAAGACGCGGCCGUGACAAGGUGGGGUCUGAAAACAACACUGUUAAUUUUGGAAUAAACUUAGAGCUGCUGACAACUGGCCAUGCAAUGUGUCAGAGCCCUGAGAUGGAAGCUCUCUGGUGAGGAACCAGCCCACUAAGAAAUCUUCAUUUUGCAUUAAGUUUAUUCUAAUGUAUUGGAAAACAUUAUGUCACUCCUAUUGGAUCUCAAUAAAAAUCAAACACUAUUUCG
RNAcentral lists this long non-coding RNA (405 nucleotides) under Mustela putorius furo (domestic ferret). Its description in RNAcentral is "lncRNA (ENSMPUG00000025291.1)". The record is from RNAcentral. Lineage: Eukaryota; Metazoa; Chordata; Mammalia; Carnivora; Mustelidae.